RNAcentral lists this ribosomal RNA (497 nucleotides) under uncultured bacterium. Its description in RNAcentral is "partial 16S ribosomal RNA". It matches the Rfam family "Bacterial small subunit ribosomal RNA", at positions 28 to 507 of the family's 1533-position model. The record is from RNAcentral.
GAUGAACGCUGGCGGCGUGCCUAAUACAUGCAAGUCGAGCGAACAGAUGAGGAGCUUGCUCCUCUGACGUUAGCGGCGGACGGGUGAGUAACACGUGGAUAACCUACCUAUAAGACUGGGAUAACUUCGGGAAACCGGAGCUAAUACCGGAUAAUAUAUUGAACCGCAUGGUUCAAUAGUGAAAGACGGUUUUGCUGUCACUUAUAGAUGGAUCCGCGCCGCAUUAGCUAGUUGGUAAGGUAACGGCCUACCAAGGCAACGAUGCGUAGCCGACCUCAGAGGGUGAUCGGCCACCCUGGAACUGAGACACGGUCCAGACUCCUACGGGAGGCAGCAGUAGGGAAUCUUCCGCAAUGGGCGAAAGCCUGACGGAGCAACGCCGCGUGAGUGAUGAAGGUCUUCGGAUCGUAAAACUCUGUUAUUAGGGAAGAACAACUGUGUAAGUAACUAUGCACGUCUUGACGGUACCUAAUCAGAAAGCCACGGCUAACUACGUG